RNAcentral lists this ribosomal RNA (490 nucleotides) under Ruegeria atlantica. Its description in RNAcentral is "bacterial SSU rRNA". It matches the Rfam family "Bacterial small subunit ribosomal RNA", at positions 394 to 902 of the family's 1533-position model. Lineage: Bacteria; Pseudomonadati; Pseudomonadota; Alphaproteobacteria; Rhodobacterales; Roseobacteraceae. The record is from RNAcentral.
AUGCCGCGUGAGUGAUGAAGGCCUUAGGGUCGUAAAGCUCUUUCGCCUGUGAAGAUAAUGACUGUAUCUGGUAAAGAAACCCCGGCUAACUCCGUGCCAGCAGCCGCGGUAAUACGGAGGGGGUUAGCGUUGUUCGGAAUUACUGGGCGUAAAGCGCGCGUAGGCGGAUUGGAAAGUUGGGGGUGAAAUCCCAGGGCUCAACCCUGGAACUGCCUCCAAAACUAUCGGUCUAGAGUUCGAGAGAGGUGAGUGGAAUUCCGAGUGUAGAGGUGAAAUUCGUAGAUAUUCGGAGGAACACCAGUGGCGAAGGCGGCUCACUGGCUCGAUACUGACGCUGAGGUGCGAAAGUGUGGGGAGCAAACAGGAUUAGAUACCCUGGUAGUCCACACCGUAAACGAUGAAUGCCAGACGUCGGGUAGCAUGCUAUUCGGUGACACACCUAACGGAUUAAGCAUUCCGCCUGGGGAGUACGGUCGCAAGAUUAAAACUC